This is a non-coding RNA of Schizosaccharomyces pombe (fission yeast), 814 nucleotides long. NCBI's taxonomy places the organism in Eukaryota, Fungi, Ascomycota, Schizosaccharomycetes, Schizosaccharomycetales, Schizosaccharomycetaceae. The record is from the annotation of a GenBank genome assembly.
AAAAGUUUUUAUUCUUGUUUGACAAAUUACUUCUAUUUUUGGUAUCCGUAUACUACAAGUUUAGUUCAUAGCUGAAUAUAUUGUUCUAGUGGUAACUGACUAUUUGCCAUUUUCAAGUUACAUGUCGAAUCGCGGCACUGCAGGGAUGGAAAACUUCUAUUUAUUUUUUGUGCACUCAAAAAAUGAUUUUUCAUCAGGACGCUGUUAGCGUUGGUAUGCAUUUGUAGUAUGUCAAUCAUAUAGUACAAUUUCAUUAAAGUGCGAACAAAACCUUUACUAUACUAGCAUAAUGCCUGGAUUUUUUUGGCUACGCUUAGUUAUAAAAUCAGCAAAAGUUCCACUCCAUUGGAGUAGGGUAAGAGCAUUGUUAGAUGGAUGUAUACGUUUUGGAGAAAAUUCAAAUAUUUGAAGUGCAAUGUUCAUUUCAUAUCGUUAGUUUUCAUUUUCUGUUAGUUAGUUUUUAGGAUUUUCGAUAUAGAAUUUUAUACAGGUUCGUUUUCCGAACAUCAUUAUAUAUUAUUUGUGUCUAUUCUUUCGAAACAUCUGCCAUACUAUUUCAUAAAGGUAGUAACCCUCAUUUACAAGUUGUUGGCUUUUACAGAAUUGAUCAUCAUAAAAACACAGUUUUGCAUCUUUUGACAGUAGUACACAUUCUCUUCGGAACUCUUUUUUAUAGAUCAAUUACUCAGUUUAACAAUAGUACAAAUGCUAAAAGAAGCCAAAUUGAACCCGUGACACGGGUUACAAAGUGCAAAAUUGACACCCUCAUUUCACGGAUUUUAUCUGAUAUACCAUACUCGGAAAGUAAUUCAGA